This is a small nucleolar RNA of Suncus etruscus (white-toothed pygmy shrew), 137 nucleotides long. RefSeq annotates it as small nucleolar RNA SNORA51. The record is from RefSeq and is a predicted model, not a curated record. NCBI's taxonomy places the organism in Eukaryota, Metazoa, Chordata, Mammalia, Eulipotyphla, Soricidae. The transcript has a single exon.
GUUUUUCUAUAAGAAAAAUCUAUGUCAAGAACUGGGUACUCACUGACUGUAUAGAAAGAGGAGGUACAGUAAAUGCACCCCACAUACACCUCAACCCAGGCCCUUUGCCUGGUCUGUAUUGGAAUUGGGGGACAAAA